GCGUAAUAGCUCACUAGUCGAGUCGGCCUGCGCGGAAGAUGUAACGGGGCUAAGCAAUACACCGAAGCUGCGGCAAUAUCUUUUAGAUAUUGGGUAGGGGAGCGUUCUGUAAGCCGUUGAAGGUGAAUCGUAAGGUUUGCUGGAGGUAUCAGAAGUGCGAAUGCUGACAUGAGUAACGACAAAGGGGGUGAAAAACCUCCUCG
RNAcentral lists this ribosomal RNA (203 nucleotides) under Vibrio cholerae. RNAcentral's name for it is "partial 23S ribosomal RNA". It matches the Rfam family "Bacterial large subunit ribosomal RNA", at positions 1132 to 1336 of the family's 2925-position model. The record is from RNAcentral. Lineage: Bacteria; Pseudomonadati; Pseudomonadota; Gammaproteobacteria; Vibrionales; Vibrionaceae.